This 91-nucleotide transfer RNA is filed under the name Armillaria luteobubalina. It matches the Rfam family "tRNA". From Rfam's summary of the family: Transfer RNA (tRNA) molecules are approximately 80 nucleotides in length. Their secondary structure includes four short double-helical elements and three loops (D, anti-codon, and T loops). Lineage: Eukaryota; Fungi; Basidiomycota; Agaricomycetes; Agaricales; Physalacriaceae. The record is from Rfam by way of RNAcentral.
GGCCGUGUAGCGUAAUGGUUAACGCGCUAGUUUCCGGUUUUGACAAGUACUACCAAGCUAGAGAUUCCGAGUUCGAGUCUCGGCAUGGUCG